Molecule: transfer RNA, 74 nt
Filed under: Candidatus Melainabacteria bacterium
Lineage: Bacteria; Bacillati; Candidatus Melainabacteria
Description: tRNA-Arg
Rfam family: tRNA
About the family: Transfer RNA (tRNA) molecules are approximately 80 nucleotides in length. Their secondary structure includes four short double-helical elements and three loops (D, anti-codon, and T loops).
Source: RNAcentral
GCGCCCGUAGCUUAGUUGAAUAGAGCAUCAGCGUCCGAUGCUGAAGGUCAUGGGUUUGAAUCCCAUCGGGCGUA